This is a long non-coding RNA of Arachis duranensis, 755 nucleotides long. RefSeq lists it as uncharacterized. NCBI's taxonomy places the organism in Eukaryota, Viridiplantae, Streptophyta, Magnoliopsida, Fabales, Fabaceae. The transcript has 2 exons. The record is from RefSeq and is a predicted model, not a curated record.
AAUCUCGAGAAAAGCAAUAAUGAUACUACUUAUUGUGUCUUUCAUGUGUAUACCUUUCGUUUUAAGAUUGGAUAAGUAUAUUUGAUUGAUGUUUUAAAUAUUUAGCUUUAAUUUUAAAUUAUUGUCUACAUAUUUGAGUUAUUGUAGUUGAUUUGUCGUUAAUGAGUUUAUAGAUGGAAUGAAGCAUUCUAGCCAUUCUUCAAUAAGUGAUUUAAUUUAUUGUAAUUCUUUUGUAUAAGUUUUGCGUAAUAUAAUGGAUGUAUUUAAUGAUAUAUGAUACAGUCGGAAGAGACCUAUAUAACUUGAUAUGCACAGAUAUUAUCACCUGCUGAUCAAAAGAAAUGAAAAUGAAAUGACAAGCUAUGAAGAUGUAUAUAAACAAAAGGAACAUAGACGAUGAUAAUGAAAUUGACGAAGAAUAGAGACAAGGACAGGGACCAGAGGCGAGGCAGAGAAGAACCACGACGAAGUUAGUGGGUGACCAAAUCCUCAUAGACAAAGACCAAGAGGAGCUAGUAGAGCUGAAAAGGGUUCAAGAAAAAAUGGUGGGAACUCCUAUUAAUGGAAGAGCAAGGCCAGCUUUUGCAGUUGUAAAUCGUGGAAAUGAUCAACAACAUGGCCCUAUCCACCUAGCAAUGCUGGGUCGGAUUAUGGUGUUAUAGAGUUCAUUAGAGAGGAUAUUGAAGCCUUGCUGAAUGAAAAGUCCAAAAGGAAAGACAAAUUCAAUUAUAAGGUUAGUUAAGAUGUUGUUUUAA